GUCCACGCCCUAAACGAUGUAUGCUUGGUGUUGGGAGUUUUUCUCCCAGUGCCGAAGGAAACCCGUUAAGCAUACCACCUGGGGAGUACGAUCGCAAGGUUGAAACUCAAAGGAAUUGACGGGGGCCCGCACAAGCGGUGGAUCAUGUGGUUUAAUUCGAUGCAACGCGAAGAACCUUACCUGGGCUUGAAGUGUGGUGGACGAUGACCGAAAGGUUGUUUCCCUUCGGGGCCGCCACAGAGGUGCUGCAUGGCUGUCGU
This 260-nucleotide ribosomal RNA is filed under the name uncultured bacterium. Its description in RNAcentral is "partial 16S ribosomal RNA". It matches the Rfam family "Bacterial small subunit ribosomal RNA", at positions 793 to 1055 of the family's 1533-position model. The record is from RNAcentral.